CCUACGGGAGACAGCAGUGAGGAAUAUUGGUCAAUGGUCGGGAGACUGAACCAGCCAAGCCGCGUGAGGGAUGAAGGUACAGAGUAUCGUAAACCUCUUUUGUCAGGGAACAAAGGCGGGGACGUGUCCCCGGAUGAGUGUACCUGAAGAAAAAGCAUCGGCUAACUCCGUACCAGCAGCCGCGGUAAUACGGAGGAUGCGAGCGUUUUCCGGAUUUAUGGGGUUUAAAGGGUGCGCAGGCGGUCUGUUAAGUCAGCGGUCAAAGCCCGGGGCUCAACCCCGGCCCGCCGUUGAAACUGGCAGUCUCGAGUUGGAGAGAAGUAUGCGGAAUGCGCGGUGUAGCGGUGAAAUGCAUAGAUAUCGCGCAGAACUCCGAUUGCGAAGGCAGCAUGCCGGCUCCACACUGACGCUGAGGCACGAAAGCGUGGGUAUCGAACAGGAUUAGAUACCCCUGUAGUC
RNAcentral lists this ribosomal RNA (459 nucleotides) under uncultured bacterium. Its description in RNAcentral is "partial 16S ribosomal RNA". It matches the Rfam family "Bacterial small subunit ribosomal RNA", at positions 338 to 795 of the family's 1533-position model. The record is from RNAcentral.